RNAcentral lists this transfer RNA (2090 nucleotides) under Homo sapiens (human). RNAcentral's name for it is "HSALNT0295344". The record is from RNAcentral. Lineage: Eukaryota; Metazoa; Chordata; Mammalia; Primates; Hominidae.
GCACUUUGCAAAGCCGAGGGAGGCGGAUCACUUGAGGUCAGGAGUUUGAAACUGUAGCAGGAGAGGUCGUAGACAAAAUCCCUCAGACACCGGAUUGUGGAAGGAACUUCCAUGGAACUUGAGCCUUCGCACAGCGUAUUUUGGCAUCGAAUUUAAAGCUAGUAGAGGUCCGGAAGAUUCCCAGGAUUAAAGUCUUUAAACAGAAAGCGUGAAUCUUGCCUAAGUAAAAGGUACCAUCUCUGGGUGGGCUUGAACCACCAGCCUUUCGGUUCAAACAGCCGAAGGCACUAACCGAUGGCGCCACAGAGACUCUAAUGGUUUAGAUUUGCUGAUACCAGAAAUGGCAUUUUAACCUCUGGCCGUAGAUAAUCUCAUAUGUUUGUAGCCUGUCCAAUCCCGCGCACUCCAGAAACCCAGAACACGGGAGACAUUGAAGCCAAGAGUCGAGUCUUUGGGCACUUUGGACGUUCUACCCGGGCAGAGUCAGCUGGGGGACUCCAACGGCCAAACGGCCGCCUGCUCCUCACCGUCUGCUCUUCACUGGUUCCCCCGCCUGCUCUUCACCGUCUCAAAAGUCGCCGGCCCCUCUACAGGCGACAACUGCAGCUUCUCCGGCGGAAGUCACUCGCUUUCCCAUUCUUAGCCCCGCUUCACACCUUGAGCUCACAGUCAUUUCCGCCGGGCCUGGGCUAGCGGACGCGCGCGUGGGAAGGACCAGAACCCGUGGUGUCCUCACCGCGUCACCCUCGGGCCCUCAGAGGUGGGAUCCACCGGACAGGGACCUGGAGUUUGCACAGGCUGCAGCCCUUCGCCCAGAGCCAGCCUAGCACCUAGUAGGUGCCCAAUAAAUGCUUGGUGAAGGAAGGCAUUCCACCGCAGGGUUUUAGGAGAACCAUGAAUUCCCGUGUGAACGUUAAGCGUUUAGUCCUACUAGGAAGUCUGGAAUAUAGAGACCUGAACUGUUUCUCAAAGGCAGCUGUUCUUGUAUCCCCAGAGCCGGUUUAGAAUCCAGCAAAGGCCCCUGCCCGGUGGAUCCCACCUCUGGAGACCCGAGGAUAGUGCGGUGGGGGGCACCGCGGGUUCUUGUCCUUCCCACGCUCACGUCCACCGGCCCAGGCCCAAAGGAACUGGCUGUGGGUACAAGAUGUGAAGAUAGUUACAAAUACCAGCUAGUGCCAGUGCCAGUUGCAGAAAUCAGGACUUGUAAUAGUUAUGAGUAUUUCUUCAUUAUUUUGAGAUGAAUACAUUUGGGUGUAUAUUAACCAAAACUUUUCUUGAGAAUUCUCCUCUUCCAUCACCCUAGCUAGCACAUUCAUUAAUAAUUAACUUUUAGAAAUCUCAAUAUUUAGGUUACAGGAAAGCAAAUAUGGAAUGUGAUCUAUCUAGCUAAAAAAGGAGUGAACAUCAUUCAAAGACAAAGACUUUAUCCUGUUGGGGAAAGGGUUGGCAUAUUUUCACUGAAUGAGAAAAAGUAUGAUUUUCAUAUUGUCUUUAUUUGAACCUUAAGUAUGAUUUUACAAGGAGGAAAAAGGAGGAGGAAGAAGCAAAAGAAGAGGAAGAGGAGGAAAAAAAGAAGAGGAGGAAGAUGUACAUUGAUGCCACUUUGAGAAGAAGUGGACUGUGGUGGAUUUGUAAUGUAUCAGUUUUGCCAAGCUGAAUGCACAUUUCCCAGAUUUGCCAUCUUUAGAUAGCUCUAGGUUAGCCUGGGCAACAGGAGACACUUGGAAGAUAGAAUUCGAGUGGCUGUUACACUCUUUUGUAUACUGGGAAGGGCGUUGUUACAGCUCAGGCAUGAUCUUCAGCUUCCCUGACCCUUGGACUGGUGGGUGUUUUGCUUCUUGAUCUAACAUUAAGGUUAGAAGUUGCAGGAUUCCAGCAGGGUUUUGUCACAUCCAAUCUGGUUUAAGUUCUCAUAUUAUUAGGAAAGCUUUAGGGUGCUUCAGGAAAACGCUUUUUAAAAAAUCAAAUUUGGAAAAUAUCAAAUGGAAUUAUAGGCAAUAAGCAUAACCCAGUGGAACCAUGAAUCAAACCCUCUAGAGCAGGGUUGUCUAAAUUUUGGCUUCCUUGGGCCACACUGGAAAAAAAAAAAA